UAGGCACACUUUGUUACUCCACGCAUCCUUCGCCGCGCAGGAUCCCCCGGGCUAAUUGAGAACAGGACCUGAAAGGCAUCCAUCCUGCUCACAUAGUAUAUUGCGCAAACGGGAUAAAAUAUGAACGGUAUUCGCUUACCAACUGCGUUCUACGUGUCAACGGGAUAGGCGAAGAAGGAAACAUUUCACCGGUGUCCUUACAAAUUGAUGGAAUGGAUCUGGAACAUAUUCUAAAUUGGCCCUCGACGCCUGAGGAAGAGAAUUUCCUGAAUUCGGUCCUCGAGACUCUGACGAAGUACGACGAGAAUGGCGCCCGCUACGUCGACGCCGAAUCCGUGAUCCUGGUUGUUCACAGACUGUGGGCUUGACAAGGGCUGAUAUAAACACAAUUACGCAGCAUGUAAUCGUGUUUAUCAAACAAUUCUUAAUUAUUUACAUGUGUUUGGAAUAUUUACUCACCUUCUAUGACUGUUUAUAUUUUACACCGUGGGCUUAGUGUCGAAUUUAUUUGCAUGUAAAUCUAAAUUAUAUUCUAUUAAUAUAUUAUGUAGCUCAGUGUGA
This is a long non-coding RNA of Leptidea sinapis, 561 nucleotides long. RefSeq lists it as uncharacterized. The record is from RefSeq and is a predicted model, not a curated record. The transcript is spliced from 2 exons. Lineage: Eukaryota; Metazoa; Arthropoda; Insecta; Lepidoptera; Pieridae.